Molecule: ribosomal RNA, 299 nt
Filed under: uncultured bacterium
Lineage: Bacteria
Description: partial 16S ribosomal RNA
Rfam family: Bacterial small subunit ribosomal RNA
Source: RNAcentral
CUCCGGCGGUUUGAGAUGAGUAUGCGUCUGAUUAGCUAGUUGGUGAGGUAACGGCUCACCAAGGCGACGAUCAGUAGGGGACCUGAGAGGACUAACCCCCACACUGGUACUGAGACACGGACCAGACUCCUACGGGAGGCAGCAGUAAGGAAUAUUGGUCAAUGGAGGCAACUCUGAACCAGCCAUGCCGCGUGCAGGAUGACGGCCUAUGGGUUGUAAACUGCUUUUAUACAAGAGAAAACCCUGGUACGUGUACCAAGUUGAUAGUAUUGUAAGAAUAAGCAUCGGCUAACUUCGUG